GAUGAACGCUAGCGGGAGGCCUAACACAUGCAAGCCGAGCGGUAUUGUUUCUUCGGAAAUGGGAGAGCGGCGUACGGGUGCGUAACACGUGUGCAACCUGCCUUUAUCUGGGGGAUAGCCUUUCGAAAGGAAGAUUAAUACUCCAUAAUAUAUUGAACGGCAUCGUUUAAUAUUGAAAGCUCCGGCGGAUAGAGAUGGGCACGCGCAAGAUUAGCUAGUUGGUGAGGUAACGGCUCACCAAGGCGAUGAUCUUUAGGGGGCCUGAGAGGGUGAUCCCCCACACUGGUACUGAGACACGGACCAGACUCCUACGGGAGGCAGCAGUGAGGAAUAUUGGUCAAUGGGUGCAAGCCUGAACCAGCCAUCCCGCGUGAGGGACGACUGCCCUAUGGGUUGUAAACUUCUUUUGUAUAGGGAUAAACCUACCCUCGAGAGGGUAGCUGAAGGUACUAUACGAAUAAGCACCGGCUAACACCGUG
RNAcentral lists this ribosomal RNA (479 nucleotides) under uncultured bacterium. RNAcentral describes it as "partial 16S ribosomal RNA". It matches the Rfam family "Bacterial small subunit ribosomal RNA", at positions 28 to 507 of the family's 1533-position model. The record is from RNAcentral.